Molecule: ribosomal RNA, 427 nt
Filed under: uncultured bacterium
Lineage: Bacteria
Description: bacterial SSU rRNA
Rfam family: Bacterial small subunit ribosomal RNA
Source: RNAcentral
UGGGGAAUAUUGGACAAUGGGCGAAAGCCUGAUCCAGCCAUGCCGCGUGUGUGAAGAAGGUCUUCGGAUUGUAAAGCACUUUAAGUUGGGAGGAAGGGCUGCAAGUUAAUACCUUGUAGUUUUGACGUUACCAACAGAAUAAGCACCGGCUAACUUCGUGCCAGCAGCCGCGGUAAUACGGAGGGUGCGAGCGUUGUUCGGAAUUACUGGGCGUAAAGCGCGUGCAGGCGGUCUCUUAAGUCUGGUGUGAAAGCCCGGGGCUCACCCCCGGAAGGGCACUGGAGACUGGGAGGCUAGAGUACCGGAGAGGAAGGUGGAAUUCCUGGUGUAGCGGUGAAAUGCGUAGAUAUCAGGAGGAACACCGGUGGCGAAGGCGGCCUUCUGGACGGCUACUGACGCUGAGACGCGAAAGCGUGGGGAGCAAACA